This 275-nucleotide ribosomal RNA is filed under the name uncultured bacterium. Its description in RNAcentral is "partial 16S ribosomal RNA". It matches the Rfam family "Bacterial small subunit ribosomal RNA", at positions 79 to 353 of the family's 1533-position model. The record is from RNAcentral.
CUAAGUUUGAUGGCGACCGGCGCACGGGUGAGUAACACGUAUCCAACCUGCCGAUGACUCGGGGAUAGCCUUUCGAAAGAAAGAUUAAUACCCGAUAGCAUAAUGAUUCCGCAUGGUUUCAUUAUUAAAGGAUUCCGGUAAAGGAUGGGGAUGCGUUCCAUUAGGUUGUUGGUGAGGUAACGGCCCACCAAGCCUUCGAUGGAUAGGGGUUCUGAGAGGAAGGUCCCCCACAUUGGAACUGAGACACGGUCCAAACUCCUACGGGAGGCAGCAUG